This 542-nucleotide ribosomal RNA is filed under the name uncultured Candidatus Poseidoniales archaeon. RNAcentral describes it as "bacterial SSU rRNA". It matches the Rfam family "Archaeal small subunit ribosomal RNA", at positions 1 to 552 of the family's 1478-position model. The record is from RNAcentral. Lineage: Archaea; Methanobacteriati; Thermoplasmatota; Candidatus Poseidoniia; Candidatus Poseidoniales.
AUCUGGUUGAUCCUGCCAGAGGCGACCGCUUUUGGAGUUCGAUUAAGCCAUGCGAGUAGAAUGAAUUAGAUCAUUGCAAACUGCUCAGUAACACGUGGAUAACCUGCCCUAUGCUCUGGGAUAACCUCGGGAAACUGAGAAGAAUACCGGAUAGACCACAACGCCUGGAACGGUGUGUGGUUGAAAGGUCACGGCAUAGGAUGGGUCUGCGGCGUAUCAGGUCGUAGGGGGUGUAACGGACCUCCUAGCCAUCGACGCGUACGGGUUGUGGGAGCAAUAGCCCGGAGAUGGAUUCUGAGACACGAAUCCAGACCCUACGGGGUGCAGCAGGCGCGAAAACUUCACACUGCAGGAAACUGUGAUGAGGGAACUCCAAGUGACUGCACAUUGUGUAGCCUUUUCUUUACUAUUAAUCGGUAUUGGAAUAAGGGCUGGGAAAGACCGGUGCCAGCCGCCGCGGUAAUACCGGCAGCUCAAGUGGUCGUCGCUUUUAUUGGGCCUAAAACGUCCGUAGCCUGUUUGGUAAAUCUGUGGGUAAAUCA